AAGCGCUUCCUUUAAGUGAAAAGGUGAAAGUUCUCGACCUAAUAAGGAAAGGAAAAAAAAACUGGAUGCUGAGUUUGCUAAGAUCUAGGCUUCACAAAGGAAUGUAAAAGACAAGUACCAGGAAAAGACAUGAUUCUCUGGAAGAAACAAGAUGAAAACCAACAUGACCAAAUGAAAAUAAAGAAGGAUUAGACACAACCUACUGGGACACACAGGGCGCUGGAGGACGGAGGAGGCGUAAUGCUCAGCCCCUGCCCCACCGUGCCUUCAGAAGCUGAUGGCCAGCCAGCCAACAUUUCGAGGCAGGCACACAUCCUUCGGGGCUUAUGAAUCCACCUUCUUGCCUCCUGCAAAGGGAAAGGGGAUGAUUGGGCCAGCCUAGCUGACUGCACCUGCCUCUUUAUUAACCACAGAAAAGUGAGAACCUACCAACUUGAAAUUAAAUCUUUUUCUGCUUUGGCACCAGGUAUGCCCAUGGAAGAAGUGACUCGGGAAGGGCAGUUUUGCUGUAAGAACAGGAGGAACAAGUGUUGCAAGAAGAGGAUGGAUGUUGGAUCUGAAGCUUUGAUGAUAAAAUUGGAUUGAGAGAGAGGCCACUGAUAGAUGAAGCUAUUUUCCACUGGGCAUGGACACUGUAUGAAGAUGACUGAAUCAGGAAAGGACAAUAUCAGUGCCAGACUAGCUCUACUCUUGGACCAUCUUGAUCCUGUUCUUGAACUGAAGGCACUUGAAUGUACCUGAUGGUGAGAAAGUAGAAGUAAGCCUGAAAAUUCUGAGUAAUGCAUCUGAGAUGCAUCUGAGACCAGACUGGACGGGACACUAAAACAGACAGUAACAAGGACCGGAAAUGUCACCCCCCCACACCUGCCCCAUUAUUGGCGCUUGACACUUGGCCCUGGGUCCUGACGUCCUCAUAGUCACUGUGUAGCCCAGGAAGUGAUGCAGGGCGACACACACAGAGAAUCUUUUCCUGGAAAUGGGUUUGGAGGACAGCUUAUUAUACACAGUAAGCCCUUGUGUAUGUGAUUGAAAAUAAACUCAGACAGUGCAUCAGGUUACAGUUAUGUGUUGAAAGGCGAAAAUCCACUUAUCCACGUGCCCUGACCGAAGACUGCCCGAGCCUGGAAUGCCAUCCCAGGACCUCAGACUAAGUGAUCAGACACUUCUUUAUCCAGAGUCCAGUGACUUAGGGAUAGACUUCCAUGGAAUUUAAACUUAGUUUAAAAAAC
Molecule: long non-coding RNA, 1229 nt
Organism: Balaenoptera ricei (Rice's whale)
Lineage: Eukaryota; Metazoa; Chordata; Mammalia; Artiodactyla; Balaenopteridae
Exons: 7
Source: RefSeq, a predicted model, not a curated record